Non-coding RNA from Trichonephila clavata, 73 nucleotides. NCBI's taxonomy places the organism in Eukaryota, Metazoa, Arthropoda, Arachnida, Araneae, Nephilidae. The record is from the annotation of a GenBank genome assembly.
GUCCCUGUAGGGCAACGGAUAGCGCGUUGGACUUCUUAGCCAAAUGUCGUGGGUUUGAAUGCCACCUGGGAUG